GUGUCUCGACAUUCGACUGUUCAGGAAAUCUCAUUCGUAUAAUCUCGUGUAUUUCCGUCGUUGGGUCGCGGUUCCCAUGCGAAAUUGUGCUCAGUUCGAAUCGCGCAGCCGCCCCCAUAGUUUGGUGCGCGGUUAAUCGAAAAAAAUGCACUAAAUCGCGAGUUUGGAUGGAAAGAAAACAUUUCGAUUUUGUGCGAUCAACAUUGCUCCAGAUAUAAUGAGAAUUGCCUAACAAGAGAAUGACGUUGGCACAUCUCGAUGCAAAUGAUAUAGCGAAAGACGCGUUGAAUGCGAUUCGAUUGUUAUUGACGCGAGGGUUGGUUGCGCGGCCAUGCCAGUUGUUGGGUCAAUGGCUUAGCCGUCAGAUGGCGCGGUGUUCGUUUCGGUCCACCCUGCCUGCGCUGGAAUGCCCUCAGCGAGGAGCUUGUCGACGCUGCCGUCUUUCGUGGAGCUUUUUUCCACGCCACGAUCAGGUGACUGGGCCAAGAACCUUUUUAGACCCUAUCAGCCGUUUCCUAAUCACUAAGGAACAUUUGUGAAUAGACGUGUAAUUUGGGAAAUGGAUAUGUGAACGCGCCAGCCGGGUGGUCCACUUUACGCGUACGGAGGUGCUGUGUUGUGUUGUGCACCAGAAGGCGGUUCCAGUGCACUCUACUUGAUCGUAUCUCAUCAUUUUAUCGUUCGACAGUGUGAUUAUGUUCAAGAUCCUGUGUUAUUUGUAUUUCAAAGCUGUGUUAUGAUCGAUGAUUAUUAGCUGAGAGAAGAAGACGAGGACGCGGCGGGCGACCGAGUUAAAGCAGAACACGGGAGUGUCGUCCACCAUUUUGGCUGCGCGAGGUUAUUCGAUGUGUGCACCAUUCUCAUCGCACGUUCGUUGUUUUCGUGGUUUGCAUCACAUCAAAUCAUUCACGAUGCUUAUGGAGUUAUCAUGUGAAUCGGGGAACAAUUGGAAAUAGUGUGUGGAAAAAUAAUUGUAAUAAGAUGAUCUCCUAAAAUCGACGCUAAAUGGAGCAAGGCGAGGGCUGUUUUCCUCGUCGCAAUCUCGAUGUUGUCAGCUGGUCAUCGAGUGGCAAUGCUGGAAUUAACUGAAGUCGUGGAAUUCAAUUAUUAUGCGAUCGGUACGUGUUACGAGUGAUUAUAAAAUUGAAAAAAAAAUAUCGUGGAUCUCGGAAGUAAACCACAGUGGAAUAGAACGAUGUCGCUUGAAAGUGGGUUACUAUAAGUGCCGUCCCUGCUAUUGGUGAAAAGCGACGUUCACUUUAGGAUAUCCUGUGCUUCUGUCAUUAUCAUUUAUAUUUGGUUCUGUCGUAUUUCUCGAUACUGGUGAAUUUGUGAGAUCGUUUCGGGAUUGCAGCUGAUCGCAUACGACAUGUCCGAGGUGGCAAACUGUAUGGAGCAUCUCGAGUGCCAUUAACCUCGUUUCGUGGCCACCUCGCGGCGAAACGAUUCCCGUUCCGCGAUUUUUUUGCGGACUUAUGUUCUCGAGGCCCGCGUUUUAACGGUAUGGGAAAUGGGCGCCGUGAUUAACGAUGAGGAAUCUGCGACGAAUGUGGGACGAGUCUUGGAAUCGUGGCGUUUGGACGCGAUCUGUAUAGUAAAUUCUCUGUGUUGAAACGCGGGAAACGAUGAAGACAUUCGCGUUGCUCGCGGAUUCAUAUCGAACUGCGCGCGUGUUACGACUGUAAGACGAUAAAACGAAGCGCAUUAUCGUCGUUCUAGUGUUUUUAACGAUUUUUUUUUCUUUUGAUCAUAAUGAUCGAAUAUACAUGGAUGGUGCUAUUAUGCAUGGUGAAAUACUGUUUUGCAGCUAGGAAUAAACAGUGACGGAAGGAAUGGUGAGGAAGGAAGGAGGAUAGGAUGAACUUAUUGUAUCGCUGACACGGAUGAAACGAAACAACACGAUGGAAACGAAGUGAGACUAUACUUUUUUUUUUUCUCUUGAUCUCCUGGAUGGGAUCUCCCAUCGGCGUAGUUUUAGAUGUAUCGUGCGAUUAUUCGACUGAAGUGAACUGGUUCGGUGUGCUCUCUCUCUCGAUCAGUGUUCCGUGUGUGUGUGGCGUUUUCGCCGCUGUUUUGACAAGGAUUACGUGUGCUGUGCACGUUACUCCGAUCCAUCAGAGACAUAAUUCUUGGCAUGCGUAGGCCGAAGGAGGAGGAAGGGGGUGAAUUGAACAGGACCGAGGAGCAUGGUGUAGUGCUCGUUUUGGGGGUUGCUGGCAGAUCAAAGGACGCGAGAGAGGGUCUGGCCGCUCUCGAGCGAUUCGAGGGCCGGUGAGCAUCGCGACGGGGCGAGCAACCCCGUUGCCUCCGCCAACGUCUAACAACCCUCCCGUCUGUCACUGUCGACGAACAACAGAACAGCUACGAUUUGGCGAUUUCUUAGAAAGACGUUGAAUGAUUCGAAUAUUCGUUUGAAUGCGAGUGAAAAAGGAUUCUAUUAUCGAAUUAAAGUAAUCGAUUCUAUCGUUUCCGAGUGGAUAAGAAUACCAU
This 2490-nucleotide long non-coding RNA is filed under the name Apis florea (little honeybee). RNAcentral describes it as "uncharacterized LOC105736588". Lineage: Eukaryota; Metazoa; Arthropoda; Insecta; Hymenoptera; Apidae. The record is from RNAcentral.